CCAUGACAAGCCAUUCAAUUUUGUUUGUUUGACCUUUUCUGACCAAUUUUGAAGAAUCGCGAUUAUUUUGCGGGGGAGCACGUAUGAUCUGUAGAUAAGAACAGACCUGACCCUGAAAAGACUCUCCUUUUUGUUGAACUUCCAUUGGGAGGAGAGUUGUGGAAACGUUUUUUGAAGAGGAAAUUGGAAACUUGGUCCACUAAUAAAGACUGAAUCUUCAAGAAGAUUAUAUUGAAAAGUAACCAGCUUUCAAGCAAAAAGGGGCAAAAUAUAUUACAGCAUUUUCAUUCAGU
Argiope bruennichi is the source of this 293-nucleotide long non-coding RNA. RefSeq lists it as uncharacterized. The record is from RefSeq and is a predicted model, not a curated record. Lineage: Eukaryota; Metazoa; Arthropoda; Arachnida; Araneae; Araneidae. The transcript is spliced from 3 exons.